RNAcentral lists this long non-coding RNA (303 nucleotides) under Hordeum vulgare. RNAcentral describes it as "long non-coding RNA (HVUL_LNC016793)". The record is from RNAcentral. Lineage: Eukaryota; Viridiplantae; Streptophyta; Magnoliopsida; Poales; Poaceae.
GCCGUCGUCGUCGUCGUCUCCGUCACGUUAUUAAUUCGAAAUUAAAAAAAAAAACACGGGAGGAAGCAGCGCUGGUAGUACUAGUUUUUUUUUUCUUUCUCCUCCCUCGCCACUAAAUUAAAACUCGUCUUGUCCCUUUGCUUUGCUGCUCCCCUCCUAUAGACCUUUCUUCGCCCUUUUCUUUCUCCCCCCACCACCCGGCGCUGCCGCUCCACGCUCCCAUCGCUGUCGCGCUCCUCUCGCAUUCGCGCUCUCGCAGCAGGAACUGGAAGCUGUUGCCUUCCGAAGAAUUCAAACCCCGGN